UGCCGUAUUAAGGCGAAACCGCGAAUGGCUCAUUAAAUCAGUUAUGGUUCCUUGGAUCGUACAUUCCUACUUGGAUAACUGUGGUAAUUCUAGAGCUAAUACAUGCAGCAGAGCUCCGACCUUCGGGGACGAGCGCUUUUAUUAGACCAAAACCAAUCGGACUCUGUCCGUCUCUCGUGGUGACUCUGAAUAACUUUGGGCUGAUCGCACGGGCCCGUCCCGGCGACGUAUCUUUCAAGUGUCUGCCUUAUCAACUUUCGAUGGUAGGUUAUGCGCCUACCAUGGUCGUUACGGGUAACGGGGAAUCAGGGUUCGAUUCCGGAGAGGGAGCCUGAGAAAUGGCUACCACAUCCAAGGAAGGCAGCAGGCGCGCAAAUUACCCACUCCCAGAACGGGGAGGUAGUGACGAAAAAUAACAAUACGGGACUCUUUUGAGACCCCGUAAUUGGAAUGAGUACACUCUAAAUCCUUUAACGAGGAUCCAUUGGAGGGCAAGUCUGGUGCCAGCCGCCGCGGUAACUCCAGCUCCAAUAGCGUAUAUUAAAGUUGUUGCGGUUAAAAAGCUCGUAGUUGGAUCUCAGUUCCAGACGGGUGGUCCGCCUACCGGUGGUUACUGCCUGUUCUGAACAGCCAGCCGGUUUCUCUUGAUGAUCUUCACCGGUUGUCUUGGGUGACCGGCAAGUUUACUUUGAAAAAAUUAGAGUGCUCAAAGCAGGCGCGACGCCUGAAUAAUGGUGCAUGGAAUAAUGGAAUAGGACCUCGGUUCUAUUUUGUUGGUUUUCGGAACACGAGGUAAUGAUUAAGAGGGACAGACGGGGGCAUUCGUAUUGCGACGCUAGA
This 840-nucleotide ribosomal RNA is filed under the name Epidelaxia sp. Sal_1088. RNAcentral describes it as "SSU rRNA". It matches the Rfam family "Eukaryotic small subunit ribosomal RNA", at positions 68 to 909 of the family's 1831-position model. The record is from RNAcentral. Lineage: Eukaryota; Metazoa; Arthropoda; Arachnida; Araneae; Salticidae.